GGUCCCGUAGUGUAGCGGUUAUCACGUCGCCCUGUCACGGCGAAGAUCGCGGGUUCGAUUGCCGUCGGGACCG
RNAcentral lists this transfer RNA (73 nucleotides) under Streptococcus pneumoniae GA47368. RNAcentral describes it as "tRNA-Asp". It matches the Rfam family "tRNA". Rfam says of the family: Transfer RNA (tRNA) molecules are approximately 80 nucleotides in length. Lineage: Bacteria; Bacillati; Bacillota; Bacilli; Lactobacillales; Streptococcaceae. The record is from RNAcentral.